GUGCUCCCCUCGGCAACACAUAUACUAAAAUUGGAACGUUACAAAGAUUAGGAUGGCCCCUGCGCAAGGAUGACAGGCAAAUUCGUGAAGCGUUCCAUUAUUUU
Small nuclear RNA from Macaca fascicularis (crab-eating macaque), 104 nucleotides. The record is from Ensembl. Lineage: Eukaryota; Metazoa; Chordata; Mammalia; Primates; Cercopithecidae.